This 225-nucleotide ribosomal RNA is filed under the name uncultured bacterium. Its description in RNAcentral is "partial 16S ribosomal RNA". It matches the Rfam family "Bacterial small subunit ribosomal RNA", at positions 524 to 751 of the family's 1533-position model. The record is from RNAcentral.
UACGAGGGGUGCAAGCGUUGCUCGGAAUUAUUGGGCGUAAAGGGUAGGUAGGUGGUCUCGUUUGUCUGGGUGAAGCCUUGAGCUUAACUCAAGAAGUGCCCUAGAAACGGCGAGACUAGAGUCUUGGAGAGGGUCGUGGAAUUCCCGGUGUAGCGGUGAAAUGCGUGAGAUCGGGAGGAACACCAGAGGCGAAGGCGGCGACCUGGACAAGUACUGACACUCAAC